RNAcentral lists this transfer RNA (84 nucleotides) under Planctomycetia bacterium 21-64-5. RNAcentral's name for it is "tRNA-Leu". It matches the Rfam family "tRNA". From Rfam's summary of the family: Transfer RNA (tRNA) molecules are approximately 80 nucleotides in length. Their secondary structure includes four short double-helical elements and three loops (D, anti-codon, and T loops). Lineage: Bacteria; Pseudomonadati; Planctomycetota; Planctomycetia. The record is from RNAcentral. RNAcentral also lists the same sequence under 2 other names.
GCGGGAAUGGCGGAAUUGGCAGACGCACCAGCUUGAGGGGCUGGCGGUAGCAAUACCAUGCAGGUUCAAGUCCUGUUUCCCGCA